RNAcentral lists this ribosomal RNA (253 nucleotides) under uncultured bacterium. RNAcentral describes it as "partial 16S ribosomal RNA". It matches the Rfam family "Bacterial small subunit ribosomal RNA", at positions 524 to 776 of the family's 1533-position model. The record is from RNAcentral.
UACGGGGGGGGCAAGCGUUGUUCGGAAUUACUGGGCGUAAAGGGCUCGUAGGUGGCCAACUAAGUCAGACGUGAAAUCCCUCAGCUUAACUGGGGAACUGCGUCUGAUACUGGAUGGCUUGAGAUUGGGAGAGGGAUGCGGAAUUCCAGGUGUAGCGGUGAAAUGCGUAGAUAUCUGGAGGAACACCGGUGGCGAAGGCGGCAUCCUGGACCAAUUCUGACGCUGAGGAGCGAAAGCCAGGGGAGCAAACGGG